RNAcentral lists this long non-coding RNA (395 nucleotides) under Phoenix dactylifera (date palm). Its description in RNAcentral is "long non-coding RNA (PDAC_LNC001766)". The record is from RNAcentral. Lineage: Eukaryota; Viridiplantae; Streptophyta; Magnoliopsida; Arecales; Arecaceae.
GGGGUCGUUGGAGACCAUGGGCGCACUAGAGGAGUUGCUUUCGAUCAGUUAGUUUUUUCUUUUCUAGUUGAAAGUUUAUAACUUUUUUCUUUUUACUUUUGUUUAGUGAUUUUUUUUGCUUUUUUUUCCUUUCUUUUUUGAUUAGGGUUGCAAUUUCUUGAAACAUACUGGAGAAUUGUGACGAAAAGUGGUUUCAAAAGAAUUAUCCAUAAAACAAGAUGAUUUUUUUAGUCUUUGCGAUACUUGAAAAUUGUUAUGGUCUUGAUUCUUUAUUACUAUGUCUCUAUGCCGAAUUUAUUCCGAUAUGGGUUUAUUUUGUAAAGUUGAAUGGACUCGGAUCUAACCCGAAUCGGACUCAAAUUUUUUAGGUUGUGACCGGGUUAUACAUAGACCCG